Molecule: ribosomal RNA, 363 nt
Filed under: uncultured bacterium
Lineage: Bacteria
Description: bacterial SSU rRNA
Rfam family: Bacterial small subunit ribosomal RNA
Source: RNAcentral
UGUUGUUAGGGAAGAACAAGUGCUGUUCGAAGAGGGCGGCACCGUGACGGUACCUAACGAGAAAGCCACGGCUAACUACGUGCCAGCAGCCGCGGUAAUACGUAGGUGGCAAGCGUUGUCCGGAAUUAUUGGGCGUAAAGCGCGCGCAGGCGGUCCUUUAAGUCUGAUGUGAAAGCCCACGGCUCAACCGUGGAGGGUCAUUGGAAACUGGGGGACUUGAGUGCAGAAGAGGGGAGCGGAAUUCCACGUGUAGCGGUGAAAUGCGUAGAGAUGUGGAGGAACACCAGUGGCGAAGGCGGCUCUCUGGUCUGUAACUGACGCUGAGGCGCGAAAGCGUGGGGAGCAAACAGGAUUAGAUACCCU